Molecule: ribosomal RNA, 253 nt
Filed under: uncultured bacterium
Lineage: Bacteria
Description: partial 16S ribosomal RNA
Rfam family: Bacterial small subunit ribosomal RNA
Source: RNAcentral
UACAGAGGGGGCAAGCGUUAUUCGGAAUUAUUGGGCGUAAAGAGCUCGUAGGCGGUCUGUCGCGUCUGCUGUGAAAACUCGGGGCUUAACCCCGGGCCUGCAGUGGGUACGGGCAGACUAGAGUGCGGUAGGGGAGACUGGAAUUCCUGGUGUAGCGGUGAAAUGCGCAGAUAUCAGGAGGAACACCAAUGGCGAAGGCAGCUCGCUGGGACGGUACUGACGCUGAGACGCGAAAGCGUGGGGAGCAAACAGG